UUUUUGGAGUCAAAUAUGACUAGAUGUCAUGUGUAUGAUUAAGUAUAAGAACUAGAACCGCAACCGAUUCCCAAAAGCUAAAGUAAUGUUUCCUUGUUUGAAGACACAAAGUCAAAGACUCAUACGGACUUCGGCUACACCAUCAAAACUUUGUGAGGCAAUAAGAAGCUUCGUUAGUUUUUUGGAGUCAAAUACGACUAGAUGUCAUGUGUAUGAUUAAGUAUAAGAACUAGAACCAUAACUGAUUCCCAAAAGCUAAAGUAAUGUUUCCUUGUUAGAAGAUACAAAGCUAAAAACUCAUACGGACUUCGGCUAAGCCAUCAAAAUUUUGAGAAGCAAUAAGAAGCUUGGUUAGUGUUUUGGAGUCAAAUAUGACUAGAUGUCAUGUGUAUGAUUGAGUAUAAGAACUAGAACCGCAACCGUUUCCCAAAAGCUAAAGUAGUGUUUCCUUGUUAGAAGCUACAAAGCCAAAGACUCAUACGGACUUCGGCUACACCAUCAAAGUUUUGAGAAGCAAUAAGAAGCUUGGUUAGUAUUUUGGAGUCAAAUAAGACAAGAUGUUAUGUGUUUGAUUGAGUAUAAGAACUAGAACCGCAACAUCUUCCCAAAAGCUAAAGUUGUGUUUCCCUUCUAGAAGAUACAAAGCCAAAAACUCAUACGGACUUUGGCUACACCAUCAAAGCUUUAAGAAGCAACAAGAAGUUUGGUUAGUGUUUUGGAGUAAAAAA
This 728-nucleotide small RNA is filed under the name Arabidopsis thaliana (thale cress). RNAcentral describes it as "ATSL197600". The record is from RNAcentral. Lineage: Eukaryota; Viridiplantae; Streptophyta; Magnoliopsida; Brassicales; Brassicaceae.